This is a long non-coding RNA of Triplophysa rosa, 5322 nucleotides long. RefSeq lists it as uncharacterized. Lineage: Eukaryota; Metazoa; Chordata; Actinopteri; Cypriniformes; Nemacheilidae. The transcript has 4 exons. The record is from RefSeq and is a predicted model, not a curated record.
UCAGACCUCAUUUCCUGUCCAAGAGUCUCGAGCUGUCUGCGCGAGUGACUACUGCACGAGAGACCACAGCGAAAACACUGAGAAGCGCAGGAACAACUCCGCAUUACUGGACAUUAAACGAGAAAAACUCCCUACUUGUUUUUAUUUUAUUAUUCAUUUAAUGUACUGAAAAACAACUCGACCGACUCAUGCGGUCCGUUUUCUGUCAGGUUUUGGGGGCUCUGAUAAACGAAGACGAAGACAACCGCAUUUAUUCAACGCUGGAGAAAAAAAGUAUCAGGAUACACGAAUAAAUGAGAAACAACGAGUGUCAACAACAACGUCAAUAAAACAGACAAUUCUUGAAGAUACAUGAAGAGGAAGAAACUUUUUCCCGCUGAACGGGACAGUUAUAAGUUAGAGUUUACUUUGCGCAAGGAUUAAAUCAUGCAUUUCUGAGGUGACACUGGUACCGAGUGACUGUGACAGGGUCAUUUCUAGUUACCUCCCUGGCACCUGGCUGCAGGACAGAUGUCUGAGGAGGAACACAGCCACAGUGCCAAUCCACCCAAACCUCCAGAUGGAGCCCAACUGGAUAAUCGUCCACUGGAAGCCCUUACCGCCCCAUGCCCAGGCGUAUUUACUGUGGGAGAGGGCAAGUCCUGGCUCAGUCAUACGUUUGCACAACAGCUCUGCAAAAACCAGCGAGCGUGUUGAUUCCUGUGUGACUGCCACAGCCAAUGCACCAUGGGUGCCAAUUUUCCCGGACACGUCGUGGCCAGGAUUUCGGGUGCGUCAUCCGGAGGUGGCAUUUGUACACCGCACCGUCAACGAGGUUUAUUAUUUCAGGUUUUAUUUCAGAAAAGCAACCAUUAUAUUUCAAGGUAAGAAUGAAACUACAAUGAUUAUAUGUCUUAAGAGAAAUAAAUGUUAAUUUUAUAAUGUUUUUUUAACUACGUAUGCGGUGGACAAACGUGACCUCCGGAUGACGCACGCGAAAUCCUGGCCAGGACAUGUCCGGGAAAAAUGGCACGUAUGGUCACCCUAAAUUUAUGUGUCACAACAAUUCCUGUCUUGACUCCUGUCAAAAUGUCUUCGGCAUACUUUUUGUUUAUUUUUGUUGGACAAUCCAAUGACAAACCCAUAGAGAAAUUAAUUCGGCCACUCGAACCCAGCAGUUUCUUUGGUGCAUCUUCAUGAAAAUAUUAAUACAUAAUCGAGUAAAUUCUGUCAUACCAAUUAAACACUUUGAUGUAAACUUCAUGGCUAAGUGGGAGAAGUACCGAUGGCCCCUUAUGGCAUUUGUUCAGACAAACUUGAGCUUUUCGUUUCUAAUGGCUUGAUAUUCUCACCACAUAAUUAGCUACAAAUGUUCAGCUGGCCUUUCAAGAUGUUUAUUUUGGCUUCCCCUGUCAGAUAUGGCUUGUCUGUCUCCUUUGUAUGGGAAAGAUUGAAGAGGCUCCAUUAUGGUCGAGCGUUAUGGGGUCUGUCCUUGAUGUUUGACCUGAUGGUUUUAUGUUGCUAUUGAGUUUCUUGUGGGGAAAUUACUGCAGCUUUCACUCGAGAGAUUGUGGCAUUAAAAUGAAGUAUCAGUGGUUGUUUAAAAACAUUAAAGUAACUGUUCUCAAGAUUUCUAAGUUUUUAAUAUUUUGAAUAAGAGGGUUCAAAGAAGUAAGUGAGAGACAGAGAGAGAGAGAGAGAGAGAGAGAGAGAAAGAGGGCACACACAAAAAUCAAUGCUGACCUAUGAGGCAGCUGUUGGCCACUCACCAGUGUGUUUGAAACUUCCUGAUGCUUCUUUGGAGCCAGCAGAGGUGCGUGACUGUGCAAAAGCAAUGUGUUUAGGUUAAAGAGAACCAGGAGCUAUAAUGCGUCAUGUGUGAACAUGCCAAACCCCUAAACGGAGAGACAGACCCCCCACCCUCUUCACAAGGGUUAUAUCUUAACACACAAAUUUUAAAAUACAAUAUUUAUUGCUGUUAAAUCUUCCCCAAAGCCUGUUAAAUACCAGACAUUUUCUAUUUUAAUGAGCUUAAUGUGUUUCCCCCUCCUCUGUUGUACUCGCUAAAUAAUCUGUGAAUUUGGAUAAAUUCCAAAACAGUUCUUUGAAGCUUUUCCUCCUUAGCGUGUUUUUACUUUUGGCCAGUUUACAAGCCCAGAUUAGACUCUAUUGUUUCAGCACCGAGCUUAGUGAAGACGUUACCAUAGUUAUCAGCACGUCUCUUCAGAGGAUAAGCCAUUUGCUUAAUUAUUUUCUCUUGGCUGCCCUAAUUACAUCCCUUAGGGGUCAUCGCUAAAAAAAUGUGUCAAAGUCAUGAUGGGCUCACAAAAGUGUAACGCAAGUGGGUGAAUGGGGGUUUUAAAUGAGGCGCUUUGCUUUAAUCCAUCAUAGAUGCCACCUGUUUUUUAUAGGCCUCCUUGUAGUUAUACACAUGCAUUGUAGUCCUACUCAUGAGUGUAUGAAUGAAUACAAAUAAAUAUGCAGCAGUCACAGAAAAUCUGUAUUUUGUCUGUAACUUGGAUGAUUAUAUGGCAGAAGAUAACUGACUCAAAGACCCAGUGAACCAUAUGGAUGGAAUAUGACAUGCAUGGUACACUGUUCCGGGUAGCUGAACUGCAAAAGGAGAGAAAGAAUGCAGAGCAAGACAAAUACAAAUCUAUGGAUCUCGCUGGCUCACAUCCAGUGCAUUUCUGACUUGCUCACGCAAAUACAUUUUAACCUUAGCUCAUUAAUGUUGAUGCUUGAAAAUACUCAUAAAAGCAAAACUUUUGCCCAGGGCUGCUCAGACACUCCCAGCCAGCAUGUAUUGUUUUACAUUUCAUGUUGAAUAAUGGAUUUGAGAGAUUAUGAGACAUGAUACAACACAUUUGGAAUCUUGUCCUUGUCGAGAGUUGUAUUUGCUUUCUAUCUUUGCAUUUCAACAUAAAGACAGAUGUUAAAAACCGUCUUUGCUCAUCAAGUGAUCUCAAAUCGCACCCGCUGCACCAUGAAUGUGAGAAAUGCAGUCUGCAUUGUCAUUUGAUUCUGUAUCCUUUCAAUACCAGCAUAUUGAGAUGCCUGCAGAGCUACAGCGGACCCUGUCUGCCAAACCAAAACCCGAUAAUAAUAUUACCAUACAGCGGCGUAAAAUCAACCUUAUUUUUAUGCCUCAAGUUAGUUUUUCUUUUACCAUGCCCCCCUGUUUUUUCCUAUUCUCUCACUGUGUUAUCACUCCCAGUGGAUUUUUAAAGACGGAUGCUUUUAAUUAGUCAGGGUAAUGACAAGUAAUUAACUCCCUACACAAGUGGCCGGUGCACUGCCUCUCUGAGAUGGCUGAUCUUUAACAGUUUUCUUUGUCACUUACUCCAAUAGAUUUUUCUCUGUGGAUCACAUUUAAUAGUAAAGACUCUUUACUAUUAAACUAUUUUACACUUCCACUCAGAAAAUUAUCUCUAGAUUGAAAGGGGUGUUAUUUCACUGAACGUUUUUUAUCUCUUGUAGUCCAUUAAAAGCUAAAUUCACAGUUAUGGUUGUAAAAUAAUAUAAGGGGAGGUUUUGUUGUUUUAAGUGAGAAGUUCUGUAUCUCUGAGUUGGAGAAAGUUCUAAUUCAGGCAUGUCUCUCUCGCCUUCUUUUAGCUAUUCCACUGAGACAGAGGGGGAGCAAAAUAUCUCCAAGUCUCUCGUCAGUGUCUUUCUCUUUUUCUCUUUUGUCUCUUACUCUGGAUAGGAACUUCUAAAAGAGCAUUAGUUGGGGUUGUUGAAGACAGAGCAACAAUAAAGAAAGGCAGGGGCUUGAGGGUUGAAAGAAUUUCAAAGUGUCCCUGUAAAGCCACAAGGCUGCUCAGCGUCUAAUACCAGGCCUCAUACCUGACUGCUCGAAGAUUAUAGAAAGUCUCACUGUGCUCUACCAGACCUCAAGAGUAAAUAAGGCAACACCAUAGAAAGGAGAGAAAGAGAAUAAGAGAAAGAUGAGGUGAUCCAACGGGGAGGGUGACUCAGAAUCAGCAGAGUAUGAGGAUCUUGGCCAAGUAACAGGCAGAUGUUACACACACGCUCUGAAAAACACUUUUUUGGUUGUUAAAAUACUUUAUCCUAACCCAGUUUAAAAUAGGUAAGUAGGUUGAUUUCGUUGAAAAGUAUUUUUUUUCUUUUUUGGAGAAGCCUGACUAGCCUGGCUGGUUGACUCAACCAAUUGUGUGAGUCUGGGCAGGGCUAUCUGUUUGUUUGACUUAUGUCGGAUGAGAGGACUGUUUGAGAAACUUGAAAAAAGCCAUUCUUCGCAAUUUCAUUUAAUUAUAGCUGUGACACAGAAAUUACACACUUCACCACGCCUUUGUGACAGAGUAAUAUAGAAUAUUCCUGUAAACCUUCACUGGAUUCCAGUCAACUGGAAAUAUACUUACAAUGUUGCUAACAAUCUAUACUGUACCACAGGACAUUUUUGUUGUCGUGGGAAAGUACUAUAAAAUGUAGGUGGGCUCUUUCCCCCCAGUUACACGUAACAUAAUGCCUUUAAUGCCAUAAACUCUUAAUGGCUGUUGCCCGCAUACUAUAUUUUUAUUUCUGUUCUUGUGUUUUUUUACUGGAAAAUGUCCUGUUUACAAGUCAAGUAAAAUUACCACACAUUUUCUGCCUCUGGGAUCCACACAUAUACUGUUUACAGAAGUAGCAUAUAGAAACAUAAUCCUACAGUAUUUACACCCCAUCAUUUUCCUUCCAGAUUUUUGUUUUAAUGCACUUGGCCUGUUUUAAAACAAAACAAAAUAGAUUUAAUUGUGAAAGGCUUUGCAAACGUGCCGUAAUUGCGGAGAUCAUUAAGUGCAUGUUCUUAAAAUUCCUCAUUGCUUCAGCCAAAUAAUAUAGAAGGCUGUGCUGAAACUGUGAUAUCUGUGCAGUAAAUCUCCCUGUACGGGUGUAUGGCUUGAUUACGAUGAGGAAUUAAAGCUCUGUCUUUGAUAACCGCUGGGUUCCAGUUGCUAAUGCUCGGUGAUCCACAGCAAUGGGAGAACAGAUGGAGCUGACGCAUGCUUCAAUGCCACAGCGGUAAAGACAGACCUCUGUUCUGAGCAUUACAGAGACAGGCUUCAGCGGUCUCCGUUUUAAAACUAAAAUGUUUCAUGAACGUGAUCCCUGUCGGUCCACAGUCCCACUGCCCUGCUAACACACUCACCCACAAAAGCUCACAAACUCUCUAAACCCUCCGGGUUGCACUCUCUUCUCUAUUUUCGUUGUGUUUCUUGGCUGUUAAAAACCAAUGUGCACUUUUGAAACAGCUUUUGGAAAACUUGAUUCUUGUCAGUCACAGUCAAAUAUUUUUGUAUAUUGACCAUUAAAAAAAUCAGUGCAAGUUUCAUGUCUCGUUUC